AGAAAGGAGGGAGAGAGGGAAGGAGAGGAGGUAACACAGUGGACAGACAGUGUGGGAGCCAGUGUGUGUGUGGACAGAGUUGAAUCAUUUUAAGGUCUUUGUGUUGUUGGGGAGAACAUGGACAUAGUGAUUAAUGUUAGAUUUUUUUUUUAAUGUAAGAAUGUUUGCCAAAAUAGGGUAAUCCCUGAAAGAACAGAAGGAGAGGAAGAAAUGGAAUGGAGAGAUGAGAUCCCAGCAGGGGGAGGGCAAUCCCUUCACCCCAGUUGCCAAACAGCCCCCCUCACCCCCUGGACCUUCCUCUUCCCUCUAUCCCUGACGGUUCUGGCCUUCCCAAACCGCUUCUGAUCUUCUGAUUCCUCUUGGGUUGAAGCAGACCAAGUUCCCCCCAGGCACCCUAGUUUGGGGGGGUCCUGUAUUUUUUUUAACGACACUCCAAUUCCCCACCUGUUCCUCCCUUUUCCCAUGCUGCCAAUUUCUAAC
This is a long non-coding RNA of Lutra lutra (Eurasian river otter), 480 nucleotides long. RefSeq lists it as uncharacterized. The record is from RefSeq and is a predicted model, not a curated record. NCBI's taxonomy places the organism in Eukaryota, Metazoa, Chordata, Mammalia, Carnivora, Mustelidae. The transcript is spliced from 3 exons.